GAGGACGUAGCUCAGCAGGUUAGAGUGUUGGCCUGUCACGCCAAAGGCCGCGGGUUCAACCCCCGUCGUCCUCG
This 74-nucleotide transfer RNA is filed under the name Trebouxiophyceae sp. MX-AZ01. RNAcentral describes it as "tRNA-Asp". It matches the Rfam family "tRNA". From Rfam's summary of the family: Transfer RNA (tRNA) molecules are approximately 80 nucleotides in length. Lineage: Eukaryota; Viridiplantae; Chlorophyta; Trebouxiophyceae. The record is from RNAcentral.